Molecule: long non-coding RNA, 241 nt
Filed under: Pan troglodytes (chimpanzee)
Lineage: Eukaryota; Metazoa; Chordata; Mammalia; Primates; Hominidae
Description: long non-coding RNA NONPTRT004052
Source: RNAcentral
AGCUCAGCCAAUCAGAUUAUCUCUGUCCCUGGAAUGAGACUCACCAGGAUGGAGAAGGAUCGAAGCUGAAUCAACACGACUAUAGAUCUCAAUUUCAUAAUCUGACAAAGGCCUUCCAGUAAAUUCAUUUUUAACUUAACAGAGAGCCCCUAACAUUGUAUAUCCACCUGGGGCCCUCUUCCUGUCAUGACUUAUAUCAUAUGGUGUCCCCAUUAAUGCUAGUCCAUAGACUUGUGGAAAC